UAGGGAAUCUUCCGCAAUGGACGCAAGUCUGACGGAGCAACGCCGCGUGAGUGAAGAAGGAUUUCGGUUCGUAAAACUCUGUUGUUAGAGAAGAACAGCGCAUAGAGUAACUGUUAUGCGUGUGACGGUAUCUAACCAGAAAGCCACGGCUAACUACGUGCCAGCAGCUGCGGUAAUACGUAGGUGGCAAGCGUUGUCCGGGUUUAUUGGGCGUAAAGCGAGCGCAGGCGGUCAAUUAAGUCAGAUGUGAAAGCCCCCGGCUCCACCGGGGAGGGUUCUUGGGAACUGGUUGACUUGAGUGCAGAGGAGGAGAGUGGAAUUCCAUGUGUAGCGGUGAAAUGCGUAAAUAUAUGGAGGAACACCAGUGGCGAAGGCGACUCUCUGGUCUGUAACAGACGCUGAGGUUCGAAAGCGUGGGUAGCAAACAGG
RNAcentral lists this ribosomal RNA (429 nucleotides) under Bacteroidota bacterium. RNAcentral describes it as "Bacteroidetes bacterium partial 16S ribosomal RNA". It matches the Rfam family "Bacterial small subunit ribosomal RNA", at positions 355 to 776 of the family's 1533-position model. The record is from RNAcentral. Lineage: Bacteria; Pseudomonadati; Bacteroidota.